This 253-nucleotide ribosomal RNA is filed under the name uncultured bacterium. Its description in RNAcentral is "partial 16S ribosomal RNA". It matches the Rfam family "Bacterial small subunit ribosomal RNA", at positions 524 to 776 of the family's 1533-position model. The record is from RNAcentral.
UACGUAGGUGGCAAGCGUUGUCCGGAUUUACUGGGCGUAAAGAGCGCGCAGGCGGUCGCUCAAGUCGCGUGUGAAAGCCCCCGGCUCAACUGGGGAGGGUCACGCGAUACUGAUCGACUGGAAGGCAGGAGAGGGUAGUGGAAUUCCCGGUGUAGUGGUGAAAUGCGUAGAUAUCGGGAGGAACACCAGUGGCGAAGGCGACUACCUGGCCUGUUCUUGACGCUGAGGCGCGAAAGCUAGGGGAGCAAACAGG